CCAAUAGCGUAUAUUAAAGUUGUUGCAGUUAAAAAGCUCGUAGUUGAAUUUCGGGGUUAGUAGAUUGGUCAUGCCUCUGGUAUGCACUGGUCUUACUGAUUCCCCCUUCCUGAUGAACCGUAAUGCCAUUAAUUUGGUGUUGCGGGGAAACUGGACUGUUACUUUGAAAAAAUUAGAGUGUUUAAAGCAGGCUAACGCUUGAAUACAUUAGCAUGGAAUAAUGAAAUAGGACGUUCGAUCUUAUUUUGUUGGUUUCUAGGAUUGACGUAAUGAUUAAUAGGGAUAGUUGGGGGCAUUAGUAUUCAAUUGUCAGAGGUGAAAUUCUUGGAUUUAUUGAAGACUAACUACUGCGAAAGCAUUUGCCAAGGAUGUUUUCAUUAAUCAAGAACGAAAGUUAGGGGAUCGAAGACGAUCAGAUACCGUCGUAGUCUUAACCAUAAACUAUGCCGACUAGGGAUCGGAUGAUGUUAAUUUUUUAAUGACUCAUUCGGCGCCUUACG
This 500-nucleotide ribosomal RNA is filed under the name uncultured Glomeromycotina. RNAcentral describes it as "partial small subunit ribosomal RNA". It matches the Rfam family "Eukaryotic small subunit ribosomal RNA", at positions 591 to 1092 of the family's 1831-position model. The record is from RNAcentral. Lineage: Eukaryota; Fungi; Glomeromycota.